CUAGGUCACCCGAGCCCAGGCUGCAGCGUUCUCACCGUGAAACAGAGCAGCCAGAGCAGCUGCUGAGGAAAGGCCCGCAGCAAGGAGUGUGAGGCGGGCCCCUCCGCCGGUCACAGACGCACCCUAAAUGAAAACCCUCAUCGAUGGCUGGCGUGUGGCUCGGGUGCACGCGCAUUCGGUAACCACAUCAGUGCCACUGAGAGGGGGGAAGUGUGACACACGCCACCCGUGCCUUUCCUGCGCACCAACCCGCUCUCAUCCUCAAGAAAAGCCCUUCCUUACAGGGCCCUUCCCACCACAGCUCCAAGGAAAGCACAGCCCUGCACGGCACACGGAUUGUACAGCAGUAUCUCCACUUACAGGAAGGGCACCAACAUCUCAUACUUCAUGGAAAGCACCUCGCUUCCUCCUCCAAAUAACCCCGUGAAGAGACUAUUCUUCCUCUAUAAUGCAGCUUCACAGCUGGUCAACUCAAAGACCAUGCUCCAAACCUCACAGCUACCUUCAAAGACCACUUUUCCCCCAAUAAAAUUCACUGGAGAAACCU
Chinchilla lanigera (long-tailed chinchilla) is the source of this 547-nucleotide long non-coding RNA. RefSeq lists it as uncharacterized. The record is from RefSeq and is a predicted model, not a curated record. The transcript has 2 exons. NCBI's taxonomy places the organism in Eukaryota, Metazoa, Chordata, Mammalia, Rodentia, Chinchillidae.